RNAcentral lists this long non-coding RNA (605 nucleotides) under Fukomys damarensis (Damara mole-rat). Its description in RNAcentral is "lncRNA (ENSFDAG00000026521.1)". The record is from RNAcentral. Lineage: Eukaryota; Metazoa; Chordata; Mammalia; Rodentia; Bathyergidae.
CUCUCUUAAAAAAUUGUCAGCUAAAUUUUUGCUUUAUCAUUUAUAUAUACAUUAUAGUGUAAUCUAGGGAAAAUUUCAUGGGUGUUAUUUUCUGCCUUUCCAUUAGCUGCAGCGUUGGGCUUUAAAUGAUGUUAGUGAUUGGGAGUGGGAGAAGAGGUGGGGUUUCUUCUUAUCAUCCCUCUUGUGGUCAAUAAAAUCAUCCGACAAAUGCCUUUCUAAGGAUGUAGAAUGUAUUUAUAAAGGAAAAGCUUACCAUUGCUAAGGGAGUGGUGUUCAGUAAGGAUUUCAUUUUCUUCUACUCCAUGGAAACAAGCCUUUUGAGCUUCUACAUGUCUGCUUAUUUGUCCAGUGCUCCAGCAGUUUGAAUUAUUUUCCAGAUAUAGACAAAUUAAACUUGAUAUAUACCCAGCCCACAGAAUUCUUAUUCCUCAUUCUUGCUAUUGUAAAGAAGAUAAGGUCAUCAUAGACUUUGCUGGUAAGUGAUGGGGAUGGUCACCAAGGUUUCAUUAAUUUUUAAAAAAACAAACAAAAAAACCACAUACUGCUGCUACCUACCAGGCAUAUUGAACAUUUAGUUUGUAACCUUAUCUUUCUUUUUCUUUUAU